Long non-coding RNA from Ictalurus punctatus (channel catfish), 1251 nucleotides. RefSeq lists it as uncharacterized. The record is from RefSeq and is a predicted model, not a curated record. Lineage: Eukaryota; Metazoa; Chordata; Actinopteri; Siluriformes; Ictaluridae. The transcript is spliced from 2 exons.
CAAAAGUAAUGAUUUAUUAUAGACAGUAUUAUUUAUUAACAAAUAAAAAUUCUCAAUUAUUCAUAAAUUUAGAUUAUACUAAUUUGCAAAGAUCAGCACGUUAUAUAAGACAAUCCAACUUCCUGUUUUCCCACUACUUCCUAUUUUCCUGUACUUCACACUGUCUUUAAUAGCAGUAAUAUUAUAGAGCAGUACACACACAUGCACACACAGAAACCAGGUCAUAUUUAAUAUGUUUGUAAUAUUCUGGGUUUGUGUGCAGUUACACAGUGCUAAGGAGAUAAACCGACUCUCCACCUUCCCGUUCCCUCCUCACAUAAACUCCAUCAACCGACGAGUCAACACUGAGUUUGAUUUGGAUUCAUGGGGCAGUGAUGAAACAGAAAACAUCACAGGUUUGGAACUGCCUGGUGUGUGUGUGUGUGUGAUAUUUCAAUUCAAUUCAAUUGUAUUUGUAUAGCGCUUUUUACAAUAGACAUUGUCUCAAAGCAGCUUUACAGAAAUAUCAACACGGUAUACAGAUAUUAAAGGUGUGAAUUUAUCCCAACUGAGUGAGCCACUGAGUGGCGACGGUGGCAAGGAAAAACUCCCUAAGAUGUUUUAAGAGGAAGGAACCUUGAGAGGAACCCGACUCAGAAGGAACCCGUCCUCAUCUGGGUAACAACAGAUAGUGUGAAAAAGUUAAUUAUGGAUUUAUAUGAAGUCUGUUUGGCCUUAGGAGCAGCCGUAGUCCCAGCAGUCUGGAAUUGGAGUAGAUUUGAGCUCCAUCCAGAGGCAGAAAGGAUCUGGAUCUCUAGUAUCUCCAUAAAAUCGUGUGGGGCUCAGCAGAAGGAGAGAGGGAGAGAAAAGAUUAUUAUGUAAUCUGUACCCACCUCGUAAUUUCCUGAUAUCAUUUGGUUUUCCACACUUGUAAUGGUCUCAUCUGUGUGUUCAUAGCUACUGAAAUCUUAAUGAAACAAAAAAAGCAGAUGUUAUUUUAAAGUUAUGACUUUUUUUCAAAAUUGUCAACCGUUUACCAAUCAUGUUCAAGAUCCUAUGACAUCACUAUGAUCUAGAGGUUCAUAAUAUUGUGAUAAAAUUAAACAUGGUAAAUAGAUAGAUAGACAGAUAGUUCAAUUUGCAAGAAUGAAAAACACAGAACAGUAAAGAUGUUAAUAUAUAUUUCAGAAACUGAAAGGUGGUAUGCAUUAUGUAACAGGUUUUGCCAUUUACUUAAACUCUUCAGGUGUACUAAGGGGUACUACAUUUUGA